This is a long non-coding RNA of Ictalurus punctatus (channel catfish), 790 nucleotides long. RefSeq lists it as uncharacterized. Lineage: Eukaryota; Metazoa; Chordata; Actinopteri; Siluriformes; Ictaluridae. The record is from RefSeq and is a predicted model, not a curated record. The transcript has 2 exons.
GUUACAUUUAAUGUUUUGAAACACCCAAGGGACAUCAUAAGGGAUGUCAUGUCGCCAAGAAACCCGAAAGCACAAAGUCCUCUGUCCAGAAGACUUACUGACUGUUACAACGCGCUGACACUGACGUCUCCUUCCAUAAAUGUGAAAGAAACAUCUCCAUGCGGAAAACUCCGCACACACAGAGCGGAGGCGGGAUUUGAAGCCCCAACCCCGGAGAUGCGAGGCAAACAUGUUAACCACUAAGCCUAGGUAACAAAUAUAUCAUAUAAAUAAAUAUAUUAUUUGGGUUUCCUUGAACCUAUCAAAAACAUGCCAGGAGGUAUUUUGCUGACUGGAAAUGGACUGGUGUUCCAUCCAUGGGCUCUGGAUCCACCCUGACCCUCACCAGGACAAAGAGCUUACUGAAGAGGAAAGACUGACUGAAUGAAGUCAUUAUUAGAUUGUCACGUCAGCAUGGUUGAAGCUACACCUCUCCUGUGUGUGUAUGUGAUGGAUGUCCCAACACUGGAUGUAAUAAGCACUGGCUGUCCUUUCCAGGCUUUGCAGCUGAUUCGAGUCUGCUCUCUGUCUCAACAAAGAUCCAGCAUGUUUACAGAACCAGUGGUUCAGGCAAAUACCUCAGCUUUGCCACUGCAAAUAAGCUCAUUGUCCUGUGCUCUCUGUGGUAUUUUGCUAAUUACAUAAUGCUCAGUAUGACGUGUGAGCUGGCAUACAAACUCCGACCACAGACACGGUCCGCCCAAGUCCUUUCACUUGUACAGAGAAGCUUGGUGUGUAGGAUAGUCACUGG